Long non-coding RNA from Carassius auratus (goldfish), 2163 nucleotides. NCBI's taxonomy places the organism in Eukaryota, Metazoa, Chordata, Actinopteri, Cypriniformes, Cyprinidae. The record is from Ensembl.
UUACAAUUAAUGUAACUUUAUACAGUGUAUACUGUAAAUAUGAUUAAUUAGGAUCCUUUCCUUUUUCACAGGAAAUUAUUUUGGUGACACAAUACAACCAUGGUUUCCAUAAAAACUUGAUUCUGAGGGUGAAAAUGUGACUCUUUCAUGUAACUAUAGUCUCAAUAGCAGCACUAGUGUUAUUAUCCUGUGGUAUCACCAGUAUCCUCAAGCACAACAGAGUUUUUACUUCUCAUCACUGAAUAUUCAAGAAAUUCUGAGCCCGAAAUAUGUCUACAUUCAGAAGCUCAAAAAGAAAUCAAACGAGUGGAUCUGAUGAUCUUCUUGGCUGCUGUAUCAGAUCGCAGGAAACUCAAUAAUCUCUGCAAUAAAUAAAUAAAUAAUAAAAAAAAUAACUUUCACUAUCUUUUCUAGUGAAAAAGAAAGAUACACUUAGACAAAGACUAAGAGAACAACUGUAUAAAAAAAAAAAAAUAUAUAUAUAUAUAUAUAAACUAUGGAUGCAAAACUGCAAAUAAACAAAAAAAAGCUUAUAUUCUUAACAUGAAAUCCACACAAAAGUAGCCUAAAGUUUAUGUUUAGUGGAUUAUCAUGUGUUAUACAGUGUGCUGGUAUAAUGUUCCACUAGAUGACAGUGUUCUCAGAGAUUCACUGGGAACUACAGCAAUGAAGAACAGAAUUGAAAUCACAAAACUGAAGGAGGGACUCAGUGUUCACAGACCUGACAUGAUCUAAUUCUGUCUGACAGAGACUGUGGUCACUUGUACAAUGAAUCUUCAUUCAGUUUUUCUGUUCUGUGUCUUAGCAGGUGCUGUCUUUGGAAAUAUCAAACCAAACAAAACAACUGUUUAUGAGGAGGGUUCAAAUAUUAUAUUAAUUUGUAGUCAUUACCCUGGAAGUUCAGAUUAUCUCCACUGGUACCGUCAGUAUGAAAGAUCAAAACCUGAAUUUCUUGUACUCACCUACGGUAAUUCAAAAGAACCGGCGGUGUCUGCUGUAGAUUCAAGAUUCACUGUUAAAGUUGAAAAAUGGCAACGAAACCAUGCGGAUCUGAAGAUCUCUUCUGCUGCUGUAUCAGACUCUGCUCUGUACUACUGUGCUCUAAGGCCCACAGUCACAGGAAACACAUCAGCUCUCUACAAAAACCUGUGAGAGACAAAAGAGAGAAACAUGGAGACAGAGAUGAAGACAGAGAAUGAGGCUGUUUUAGAGAACUGUUUUAUACUGUAUACAGUAUACUCUAUUAUAUGUAAAAACAUAAAAAAAAAUAAAAAAUAAAAUAAAUAAAUAAAAAAACAACAACUAAUGGAAACAGUAAAAAUAGAUCACAGUCAGUGAUUAAAAUCUAAAUCUACAUAAUGGAUAUAUACAAACCUAGCUCGACCAUAGUUAAAAAGUCAAUAUUCCAUAUUCAUGAGACGUGACUUACAGCUCAGAGCACUGAGAGCCUCAACAGAGAACUGAACUGAUCUGAUUGAACAUGGACAGAUGCUUCAUACUGAUUCUCAUUGUAGGAACAGCUAUUAUUCAAAUUAAACAGUUUAUUUAAAUGUUCUAGGUGUAUUUUCUUUUUUUUCCCCUGGUAAGUUCUGUCAAAUGUGUUUCAUUUAUUUUGUAAACUAUGCUAACACAAUCGGAAAUCAGAUUAUUUUGCUUAUUUUUUGAAAAACUUGUUGGCUGGAGACAACAUUGAGUCAGAUAAAGGGACAGAAAAACCUCUCAAGAAACAGAAACUGUCAAGCUGAGCUGCUCAUAUAGUACAAAUAGUGCUUAUGUUUGUCUUUACUGGUACAGACAGUAUCUCAACACAGAACCACAAUAUUUAUUAUGCAAGGGUGCACAAGUUAUGAAGAUACCUCUGAUGAUUAGUUUGAAUUCAAUGCCCAGAUAUACAGAAUAUUAGACAUGUCAUAAAAAAACCUUAAGCCUUUUCACUAUGACUAGACUAAGGAUAUUACAAUAUGACAAAACAUUAAUAUAGUUUACAUAAUCAACACCACUAUUUUUGAACACGGAACUAACAAGUAAUCAUUCUGCUCACAUAUAAUCCAAGCAUCUCACUAAAUGCAAAAGCCUGUGUUUGCUACAUUCAUAAGUGGCCAUCCCUUGUAAUUAAAUGGUGUUGAUAUUCCAGUAAUUUAUGUGUGGACAAAUCAAAGCCAU